RNAcentral lists this ribosomal RNA (265 nucleotides) under uncultured bacterium. Its description in RNAcentral is "partial 16S ribosomal RNA". It matches the Rfam family "Bacterial small subunit ribosomal RNA", at positions 793 to 1055 of the family's 1533-position model. The record is from RNAcentral.
GUCCACGCCCUAAACGAUGUCUACUAGUUGUUGGGAGAGUAAAAUCUCUUAGUAACGCAGCUAACGCGUGAAGUAGACCGCCUGGGGAGUACGGUCGCAAGAUUAAAACUCAAAGGAAUUGACGGGGGCCCGCACAAGCGGUGGAUUAUGUGGAUUAAUUCGAUGCAACGCGAAAACCUUACCUGGCCUUGACAUGCCGAGAACAUUGCAGAGAUGCGAUGGUGCCCGAAAGGGAACUUGGACACAGGUGCUGCAUGGCUGUCGU